AUGACUUUCAUCAUCAUCUUCAUCUGGACACUCACAGUCUUUACUCAAGUGUGUAGAGGACAGUACACUCUUACUCAGAGUCCAUCAAUAUCAGCAGUUCAACCAGGACAACAAGUUAAAAUAAACUGUAAAGUGAGCAGUGCAGUGUAUAGUAGUAAUUACUUGGCCUGGUACUUACAGAGACCUGGAGAAGCUCCUAAACUCCUCAUAUAUUAUGCAACAACCCUUCAGUCAGGAACUCCAUCAAGAUUCAGUGGCAGCGGAUCAAACACAGAUUUCACUUUGACCAUCAAUGGAGUUCAGACUGAAGAUUUAGGAGUUUAUUACUGUCAGAGUUUUCACUAUCCAAGUAGCACUAAUGUGUUGACACAGUGA
This is a non-coding RNA of Paramisgurnus dabryanus, 375 nucleotides long. The record is from the annotation of a RefSeq genome assembly. Lineage: Eukaryota; Metazoa; Chordata; Actinopteri; Cypriniformes; Cobitidae.